GGGGGAGAAUGGGCAUCCCACCCCAGCACUUUCUAGGAAGGAGGGCAGCAUUUUGAAGGGCUGGAAGUAGAGGAAGGAGGUUGCGGGUAGAAGACUCCAUACUUUCUGUGAUGCCUAUUCCUUAGCUUGAGAUGAAUGUUUUCUCAGUAUCCUAUGCUGAAAACAGGUAGAUACUAAUAUCGAUCUUCAAGGGAGGGCUGUUGAGUUUUGAAUAAGACAAAAACAUGGAAGCAAUCAGCACCAUGCUGCAGGAGGAAAAACAUCUGAAGAAUAUAUUUGUAGACUUCCUGGAAAUUGAUAAGUUGUCUCCAUAACUAAAGCAAGCAGAUUUUACUAAUUAGAAUUAUCUACAUAAUUUUACUUCAUUCACUUCUUUCUGUCAUACUAGGAGAGCCUUUAUAUAACCAAAGAUAUUUUUGGACCAUGAAUUCGGAAAUUCUCGGAGCCACCCAUCAGUGCCUGAGCUUCAGUGAGUCCAUAUCCCAUGUCACCCACGGCAAAGGAGAAUCUAAGACUUCUGAAGAGUUUCUUGCUUCUUUCCUGUGGGGCAGUGACUCCACUUCCCAGCAGUAAUGGAAUAUCCUGAAUUAGCUACAUUAAUGUUAGAACCAUUUGGACCUCACCCAGGACUUCAACUACAUUAUGAGUAACUCCUGGACGAUUGGCACAGAAGGCACAAGGCAAAUACCUAUCUCUGUACACCCUGUGCUACUGUGUCAUGUGCUGCUCCAGGCAACUCCAAUGGAUUGGCCACCCUGGCCAAUGUGUUCUAGUAUGUUAGGUUUAUGUUCCCCUGCUUUCUACAAUCCUGUUCAAAGAGUUGCUGACUUAACCACAGAGAGGAUUCCAGAACAUGAGACACAGAAUAAACUUGAGCAAUCAUAGUCCAUCCACUUCAUUUUCUCAUCAAAAACCAAAGGUCCAGUGAAGCUCUGGAAC
This 939-nucleotide non-coding RNA is filed under the name Pan troglodytes (chimpanzee). The record is from RNAcentral. Lineage: Eukaryota; Metazoa; Chordata; Mammalia; Primates; Hominidae.